UGGCGUGACGCUGAUAAGUACAUGCAAGUCGAGCGAAUGGAUUAAGAGCUUGCUCUUAUGAAGUUAGCGGCGGACGGGUGAGUAACACGUGGGUAACCUGCCCAUAAGACUGGGAUAACUCCGGGAAACCGGGGCUAAUACCGGAUAACAUUUUGAACCGCAUGGUUCGAAAUUGAAAGGCGGCUUCGGCUGUCACUUAUGGAUGGACCCGCGUCGCAUUAGCUAGUUGGUGAGGUAACGGCUCACCAAGGCAACGAUGCGUAGCCGACCUGAGAGGGUGAUCGGCCACACUGGGACUGAGACACGGCCCAGACUCCUACGGGAGGCAGCAGUAGGGAAUCUUCCGCAAUGGACGAAAGUCUGACGGAGCAACGCCGCGUGAGUGAUGAAGGCUUUCGGGUCGUAAAACUCUGUUGUUAGGGAAGAACAAGUGCUAGUUGAAUAAGCUGGCACCUUGACGGUACCUAACCAGAAAGCCACGGCUAACUACGUGCCAGCAGCCGCGGUAAUACGUAGGUGGCAAGCGUUAUCCGGAAUUAUUGGGCGUAAAGCGCGCGCAGGUGGUUUCUUAAGUCUGAUGUGAAAGCCCACGGCUCAACCGUGGAGGGUCAUUGGAAACUGGGAGACUUGAGUGCAGAAGAGGAAAGUGGAAUUCCAUGUGUAGCGGUGAAAUGCGUAGAGAUAUGGAGGAACACCAGUGGCGAAGGCGACUUUCUGGUCUGUAACUGACACUGAGGCGCGAAAGCGUGGGGAGCAAACAGGAUUAGAUACCCUGGUAGUCCACGCCGUAAACGAUGAGUGCUAAGUGUUAGAGGGUUUCCGCCCUUUAGUGCUGAAGUUAACGCAUUAAGCACUCCGCCUGGGGAGUACGGCCGCAAGGCUGAAACUCAAAGGAAUUGACGGGGGCCCGCACAAGCGGUGGAGCAUGUGGUUUUAUUCGAAGCAACGCGAAGAACCCUUACCAGGUCUUGACAUCCUCUGAAAACUCUAGAGAUAGGGCUUCUUCUUCGGGAGCAGAGUGACAGGUGGUGCAUGGUUGUCGUCAGCUCGUGUCGUGAGAUUGUUGGGUUAAGUCCCGCAACGAGCGCAACCCUUGAUCUUAGUUGCCAUCAUUAGUGGGCACUCUAAGUGACUGCCGUGACAACCGAAGUGUCGUGAGAUGUUGGGUUAAGUCCCGCAACGAGCGCAACCCUUGAUCUUAGUUGCCAUCAUUAAGUUGGGCACUCUAAGGUGACUGCCGGUGACAAACCGGAGGAAGGUGGGGAUGACGUCAAAUCAUCAUGCCCCUUAUGACCUGGGCUACACACGUGCUACAAUGGACGGUACAAAGAGCUGCAAGACCGCGAGGUGGAGCUAAUCUCAUAAAACCGUUCUCAGUUCGGAUUGUAGGCUGCAACUCGCCUACAUGAAGCUGGAAUCGCUAGUAAUCGCGGAUCAGCAUGCCGCGGUGAAUACGUUCC
Molecule: ribosomal RNA, 1460 nt
Filed under: Bacillus thuringiensis
Lineage: Bacteria; Bacillati; Bacillota; Bacilli; Caryophanales; Bacillaceae
Description: bacterial SSU rRNA
Rfam family: Bacterial small subunit ribosomal RNA
Source: RNAcentral